GCACUGCUGAGGAGUCCCACAAUAGGGCGAAAUGGCCGUCCAGUGC
Schistosoma haematobium is the source of this 46-nucleotide non-coding RNA. The record is from Rfam. NCBI's taxonomy places the organism in Eukaryota, Metazoa, Platyhelminthes, Trematoda, Strigeidida, Schistosomatidae.